This 530-nucleotide long non-coding RNA is filed under the name Onthophagus taurus. RNAcentral's name for it is "uncharacterized LOC111418378, transcript variant X1". The record is from RNAcentral. Lineage: Eukaryota; Metazoa; Arthropoda; Insecta; Coleoptera; Scarabaeidae.
UGCGUUGCAACUAAAAAAGGAUCGAUUCGUGAAGAAUAAACAAUAUAAAUCACUUAACAAUUAGAUAAUUAAUAAUAAAUUAAUUAAAAUUUGAUAAGAAACAGUUUCUGUCAAAACAUCGAAAUGAUAGGAAGGGCUACCAACUUGAAUUUUAUCCGAUUUAAAAUUAAUUAAUUUUUAAUAAUAAUUAAAUUAUUGAUGGUUUUUACUUUUUUAACUUCCCAACAAAUAAAAAGAUAAAGCAACAAAAUAAAGACGACCAAAACUUGUUCUGAAUAACGAAAAACUUGAUAAAUGCGAUUUAGAGGAUUUAAUUGGACGUGGUAUUAAAUGAAUCGCAUUAAAUGAACGGGUAAAAAGAUACCACAAUUUUGGAUAACUUCGUCGCAAAAUCGAAGUAACACUUCAUUGAGAGGCUAAAUUUGUAUGUGGAGCAAUCAAUGAGAACCCAGAAGAAUAAUUUUUGAGGAUACAUAAAGUGAUUAUUGAGAUAUUAAGAAAAAACCUCUAAAAUUAACUUUUCGAUCCUC